RNAcentral lists this long non-coding RNA (675 nucleotides) under Rattus norvegicus (Norway rat). RNAcentral describes it as "long non-coding RNA NONRATT015896". The record is from RNAcentral. Lineage: Eukaryota; Metazoa; Chordata; Mammalia; Rodentia; Muridae.
GAUGAGAAGAGAUCACUGUCCAGACGGAGCCUCAUCAACAUCGGAAUCACAGGCCUGUGUCACCUCACCCUACCCAGGCAGGACUUCCUUUCGAUUCAAAAGAUUGUAAAGAGGUCCUGAUCAAGACCAUAAUGAAAUGACUUGCUGGGUCAUAAAACCACGAAGACAGUCAAGCCACACUUUUGAAUAAAAUCCUGCAGUAGCUGGUGGAAGUUUUGAUAUAUGGUUCAGAAAAUACACAUUUUAAAAUUCACAGAAGCUUCAAAGCCCUGGUCGGACAUAAAUUCCAAUCCGUUUUCCUGUAACAGUAAAAAAUCCGAAGGAUGCUCGUUCGCCAACUCUCAGUAUGUGUCGCAGGUACACAGUCGCUCUCUGCAUGCAGGACGCACAGCGCGUUUAUUUCUGCCUCGGCGUAUAUUUUAAAAUAAAUUACCCCAGGAAACAAAAUGUUUGAACACACUGUGUUCAACUAUGAUCCGACAAAGGAGGCAAAACCUUCCUUUCCUUUCAAAGAGCCUGUAUCAUAUUUGGCGAAACUGUGGGGUGCUCGAGGGAUUUGAAAGCAGCACUCGGCUACUCUGAGAUCCCCCUCUAGAGUCAGUGGGCGGGGUCCCCCUUCAUCCUGUCUCUAUGCUUCUUGCCUUCUGCUCGGGAGUUUCAAAUGUAGGAAGAGUU